UUGAUUUGCCCACUUCCAUUCAAUUUCCAAAUUGUUCCAUCGCUCGCUGCCGACUUGCCGGGGGGGUGUGUGCUUAUGAGGGUUACAGGGGGUGCUGAUGGGGCUUAUGUAGGUUACCCCCUCUGUAACCUACAUAAUCCCCAUCAGCACCCACUGUAACCCCCAUAAGCACCCCCUGUGUAACUUAUGUAAGCCCCAUCAGCACCCCCUGUAACCGCCAUAAGGCAAGUCGGCAGCAUACGAUGGAACAAUUUGGAAAUUGAAUGGAGGUGGGCAAAUCAAACGGACUACGGACCAAUCAGAUAAUAAAUAGUAAAAAAGCGUUACUGCAUUAUCUGAUUGGUCCGUGUGUCCAUGAAGUCAGUGGCUGUACAACCAAUAGGGUCCAGUGUGCCGCUAGUGCCUUGUCUGAUGAGAUGAGUGAAGAGUAGGGCCAUGUGCGCAUGCGCGGCACGUACCAUAGAAUUCCUCGACCCGUUCUCAAAUAAGUCGCCUCAAACAGCUGUUUAGAGGAGGUUGGGCCUCUUGCGCAUGCGCAGUGAGCGCCACAUCCCUCCAACAGCUGAUUACACGUCACCGGAAGUGACGUGGUGCACACAUUCCUAUGGUAUACAACUUCUUUUAGAACACCGGACCAUUUCUGGAGCACAAAAUGGCAGCAGUUUUGCAAGAAUGUUAUCUAUUUGCAUGAGCACUAGAGGGCAGCACUAUUUCCUGCCAUGUAGUUCUCCAGAUGCCUACCUAGGUAUCUCUUCAACACAGAAUGUCAUGGAAACAAAGCCAAUUUGAUCAUAGAAGUAAAUUGGAAAAAAAAAAUGUAAUGGUUUGCUCUUAAAAAAACAAACAAAAAAAACACUUUUAUUUCAUAUCCCUUUAAGAUAAAGUGAAGUAAUACAAUUUCUUCAACGUUUAUUGCUCAAAUUAUAAUUAAAUACAUUUGUUAAAUCAGACAAUUCAUUUGUGCUUUAGAUGGCAGAAAAUGUAAUAAUAUUAGAAAUAGGGAUGCACAGAAAGUUUCGGCCGAAAAUUGCAUUUUUGUUAUUUCGGUUUUUAUGCCUUUUAUUUUCGGUAAAAUUAUUGUGUAGCAUAUUUCAAAUUUGAUGCCAGCCUAGAGCUGCUGUUUGAGUUCAUUACUUGACUUACUGUUUUGCAUAUGAUAAUACUUUUCUAGGACUAUACUUUAUUUUGAUAAUUGGUAAAAAAAAAAAAAAAAAAAAAAAAGGUUAAAUCUGAUUCUGUUACACAGAACUAAAUAAAGAAUAAUACUAGCGAUGCACCAAAAGUUGGGCCGCCGAAAAUGUGCAACUCCAAUUUCGGCCCAAAGAGGACCAAAAUGGCUAAAAAUGUACAGCCCUCCCCUGUUCUAUUGGGUUACAUGCCUAUCCUUAGCAUAAGGUGAGCAGCACAGCACUGGCAUUAUACACAGAGCACACACAUAAGUACCAUGAUAUCCUGUUCUAUUGGGUUACAUGCCUAUCCUUAGCAUAAGGUGAGCAGCACAGCACUGGCAUUAUACACAGAGCACACACAUAAGUACCAUGAUAUCCUGUUCUAUUGGGUUACAUGCCUAUCCUUAGCAUAAGGUGAGCAGCACAGCACUGGCAUUAUACACAGAGCACACACAUAAGUACCAUGAUAUCCUGUUCUAUUGGGUUACAUGCCUAUCCUUAGCAUAAGGUGAGCAGCACAGCACUGGUAUGGUACACAGAGCACACACAUAAGUACCAUGAUAUCCUGUUCUAUUGGGUUACAUGCCUAUCCUUAGCAUAAGGUGAGCAGCACAGCACUGGUAUGGUACACAGAGCACACACAUAAGUACCAUGAUAUCCUGUUCUAUUGGGUUACAUGCCUAUCCUUAGCAUAAGGUGAGCAGCACAGCACUGGUAUGGUACACAGAGCACACACAUAAGUACCAUGAUAUCCUGUUCUAUUGGGUUACAUGCCUAUCCUUAGCAUAAGGUGAGCAGCACAGCACUGGUAUGGUACACAGAGCACACACAUAAGUACCAUGAUAUCCUGUUCUAUUGGGUUACAUGCCUAUCCUUAGCAUAAGGUGAGCAGCACAGCACUGGUAUGGUACACAGAGCACACACAUAAGUACCAUGAUAUCCUGUUCUAUUGGGUUACAUGCCUAUCCUUAGCAUAAGGUGAGCAGCACAGCACUGGCAUUAUACACAGAGCACACACAUAAGUACCAUGAUAUCCUGUUCUAUUGGGUUACAUGCCUAUCCUUAGCAUAAGGUGAGCAGCACAGCACUGGUAUGGUACACAGAGCACACACAUAAGUACCAUGAUAUCCUGUUCUAUUGGGUUACAUGCCUAUCCUUAGCAUAAGGUGAGCAGCACAGCACUGGUAUGGUACACAGAGCACACACAUAAGUACCAUGAUAUCCUGUUCUAUUGGGUUACAUGCCUAUCCUUAGCAUAAGGUGAGCAGCACAGCACUGGCAUUAUACACAGAGCACACACAUAAGUACCAUGAUAUCCUGUUCUAUUGGGUUACAUGCCUAUCCUUAGCAUAAGGUGAGCAGCACAGCACUGGUAUGGUACACAGAGCACACACAUAAGUACCAUGAUAUCCUGUUCUAUUGGGUUACAUGCCUAUCCUUAGCAUAAGGUGAGCAGCACAGCACUGGUAUGGUACACAGAGCACACACAUAAGUACCAUGAUAUCCUGUUCUAUUGGGUUACAUGCCUAUCCUUAGCAUAAGGUGAGCAGCACAGCACUGGUAUGGUACACAGAGCACACACAUAAGUACCAUGAUAUCCUGUUCUAUUGGGUUACAUGCCUAUCCUUAGCAUAAGGUGAGCAGCACAGCACUGGUAUGGUACACAGAGCACACACAUAAGUACCAUGAUAUCCUGUUCUAUUGGGUUACAUGCCUAUCCUUAGCAUAAGGUGAGCAGCACAGCACUGGCAUUAUACACAGAGCACACACAUAAGUACCAUAACAUCCUGUUCUAUUGGGUUACAUGCCUAUCCUUAGCAUAAGGUGAGCAGCACAGCACUGGCAUUAUACACAGAGCACACACAUAAGUACCAUAACAUGAUGAUAUUUGAAACCAGCAGUGCCCUUUUUUUUUUUUUAGAAGGAAACCAAAGUUCUGAAUACAGUAUUCAAAGGAGGAUAAGUAACAUGUUUAUAAACACUUGAUAUUAUCACACACAGUGAAUAUUAUAAGCCUUAUAUUCAGUGCUCAUACAUCAGCCUCUUGUGCGUAGACAUUCUAUUCGCCUGAGGCAAAUAUGCGUGCACACUAUAUAUGCAUAAGCCCCAAGCUCGCACACAGUUGGUACAAAUUAGCACCCACCAGACAGUGUAUACAAAAAAGCACAGUAAGUUUCUAUAACCACGUAAGGUCGUAGCUAAGUCCAGUGGUCCUGGUGAUAGGUGACAGGCAGACUCCAUUUGGGACUCCGGACAUAUAAUCUGAUGGGUCAGUGUGAGACCCAAACCAGGAACUAGGCGGAGAUGCGAUGAGAGACGAUCAGGUGCAGCCAAGCCUAUCGCACUGAUAACUACACCCAAAAACAAAACACAUGUCCACCUCGUAUUGUUGUCUGGCUAUAACCACGCUCUCCCUUGUAGAGCUCCACCAGUUUCAAUGCAGAUUACGCCCUACGGUACAAGUGACCACGCCCAUUUGUUGGAGCUUUCACGCCUACAAGCUCUCUCAGCUACACACACACACACACUGUAGUUGAAAAAGAAAAAAAAACAUUUUGUUUCGGCCAGGGGCAUCCUGAAUUUUCGGUAUCGGUUUCGGUCCAGAAUUUUCAUUUCGGUGCAUCCCUAAUUAGAAAGUAUUACACUGCCCCUACCAUGCUACUUUAUAAAGCCACUCGUCUAGCAACAUUUUCUGUGGAGUACUGGGGCAUAAAAUAACAAUGUCACCUUAUAUAUGCUCUGCUAUGUGCAAUUAAAUAUAUAGCAGCAGAUUGGUAGAACCACUGUCAGACAGAAGGGAGGUUCUUCAUGUAGGAUACUUUGUAGGUCUAUAAGGAAGACUGCUCUUUAUAUUACAACGUAGCACACACUUAUAAUUCAUUUAUUAGUUAUUCUUUAAGGUGCUUUUAGUCUCGACUGCAUAAUCCAGUUACAUUUUGAAAAUUGAAUUGGACUUUUAUGAAGUGUUUUCCCCCCACUGUUUUUUGCACUAUUUAAUAAUGCUCAUAAGUCAUUAUCUCUAACUAUAUGAUUUUCCCUAUUUAUAACAGUCAUAACCAACUUAAAGGGAUACUAAACUCAAAUUUGUUCUGUCAUGAUUCAGAUAGAACAUGCAAUUUUAAGCAACUUUCUAAUUUACUCCUAUUAAUUUGCAGUUCAGGCUUUAGAAACUCAAACUGUACCAUGGAAGACAACUAAAUUUAGACAUAUUUAGUAGUAUUGCCCUAUAUUAAAGCUUUUUUUUAUAGUCUAAUUUCUAUGUAAAUGUGUUUGUGUGUCCUCUUAAAAAAGGUGACACCUUCCUGUAGUCUUUACACUCAUCCCCCCUUCAGUGGGUUUCAGUUUGGGUUCUACCACUUUUGGAGUAAGUAGUUUUUUUUCAGUAGUUUUGCUGCAGCCUUCAAAGUACCUUCACAUUGGGUGGUUUGGUGGCAACCAAGCAGUUCUGCUAUAUAACAGAUGAACGGGAGAGAAACAGAUUUGUGUAUCCAGUAAUAUCAGCGUUCUGCCCACAUAAAACUUUUUAUGCUAUGUUUGUGCCUGGUUUGUUUCUGAGAUAAAUGUUGAGGGACAAUGUUGGUUGUUCCACUAGUUGUAGAGUUUUGUGCUACCAGCAGAUUUGGUGGAAUGUGUUCUUUGUCCCUGUUCAUAGAACAGAACUAUAUUAAAAGGGUAAUGCAUUAUAUACAUUUAAAAUCAAGAGAGGUUUAAUAUCCCUUAAUAUAAAAAUUGUGCCUUGCCCACAGUAACAAGUCAAAAAGCAAAGUCUGUAACAUUUUGUUUUUAAAUGUUUGAUUUUCAGCAUUUGCAGGUUACAGGGUGCUUUUUUGCCUUUCUCUAGGAGCAUGGGACAAAGCUCAAUUUUACAAAUCAGUGACAGGUGUUUAAUGUCCGUUUAUUACAUAAAUAUAAAUGUUCCAGCAGUACUAUCAAAUACCAUUUGUGCGGAUCAUACUAUUACAGUAUAAUUGGCAGUGUUUUUCUCUCUUCAGUACACUUGUUUUAAUAUAAUUAUAUUUUGUACUUGCAUCUUUAAACCUCUAGUGCCAAACAAGAACAAUCUUAUACUACCUUUAACCUCUAAGUUGCCAGAGAGGGCUGUAACACAUUGCUACACAAUGCUCUGCAAACCUUGCUGGUAGCCAAGGGAUUAAAGGGACAGGGUACUGAGACAUUGGUUUCCCCUUAAUGUGUUUCCAAAUACUUUUUAUACCAGUUGCAGAUUAUAAAAUGUGUAAGAAAUUGUUUCUUUAGGGUUAUAUGGAUACAAAAAAAGUUUUUGCUCUUUAAAACUAAAACCCAUUAAAAUGUACUGAACUUCAAGAUACAUCAGACCUCUCCUUAUCUUAUAGAAAUUAUUAAUUGUAUCUUCUCUCUGUAUACCUAAGCUCAAUAAAUAGAAAGAACAAUUGAAAAUAAAUAUUGUAGUACAUGUCACUCCCACCCCCACACUGGUAAUGUAAUUUCUUCUGCUGGCUCUUUUUACAAAGUUUUUCCAUAAACCAAUAGUUAAUUAUUACAAUAUUGAGUAUAAUUAGUGGAUUCAACAGGCUAAAUCAGCUAUUCCAACUGACAAAAUAAAGGUAAAGGAACUUUGUGCACAAUUUAAUACACUCUAGCAAGUAAAUUGAUCAUUUGGAACACACUGAAAGGGGAGAAAAUGUACACUGUCCCUUUAAGCGUUACUUUGUUUUGUCCUGUCUAAGCUUGGCCCUCUGAACUUUUAAAACUAAAUAACUGGGUUGUUUUUUUAUUGGGAUUUCUCUAUUUUAUUUUUAUUUAACUUAAAAAUGAUCAAAAAGCCCAGAACUAAUUUUCAUUUAAAGUGAGAAAUCUUUUAAACCACUCUUUAUAAACAUGUAACUUUUUAUUGUAUAGGAAUAUAAAAUGCAAUUUAAAGCCCAUAUUUAUGUUACUUUUAAAUCAUGCUAUUUGUAAACUUUAUGUAUACCUUAUCUGUGAAUUUUAUUUACUUUUUAUCCCAACUUCAAGUUGUGCAAUAAACUGGCUUUUUAAAAGACAAA
Long non-coding RNA from Bombina bombina (fire-bellied toad), 6193 nucleotides. RefSeq lists it as uncharacterized. The record is from RefSeq and is a predicted model, not a curated record. The transcript is spliced from 2 exons. Lineage: Eukaryota; Metazoa; Chordata; Amphibia; Anura; Bombinatoridae.